RNAcentral lists this transfer RNA (74 nucleotides) under Asthenactis papyraceus. RNAcentral describes it as "tRNA-Ile". It matches the Rfam family "tRNA". Rfam says of the family: Transfer RNA (tRNA) molecules are approximately 80 nucleotides in length. The record is from RNAcentral. Lineage: Eukaryota; Metazoa; Echinodermata; Asteroidea; Spinulosida; Pythonasteridae.
AGAAUUUGAACCAAAUAGAAAGGGAGUCUAGCUGAUAAUUAGAUUGUUGAAGGUUAAAGUCCUUCCAAGUUUUA